RNAcentral lists this long non-coding RNA (469 nucleotides) under Capsella grandiflora. RNAcentral's name for it is "long non-coding RNA (CGRA_LNC001030)". Lineage: Eukaryota; Viridiplantae; Streptophyta; Magnoliopsida; Brassicales; Brassicaceae. The record is from RNAcentral.
GAGACUGUGCUGUGAGGCAGGCGGUUGGAUGAAUUGUUGUGGUGGGAGGCCCUGCUGAGUAAGAGACGGGGGAGCUGCAGCAGAAGCUGGUGGCUGAGGCAGUGAUGCGGGUGGCUGAGCAGAGGGUUCAACAUGUGAAGAGUGUGUCUCGGGCUGCUGGUUUACCUUUGAUAAUUGGAGCUUUGAAAGCUGAAGCUGCGCUUCAACUAUUUCUUGUUUGUCCUUCAACAACUGUACACCGCUUUGCACCUGAAUGCAAUCAUACAAAGAAGGUACUGAGGAAUCUAGAAGCUUAAUAGAUGGUAUAUCGAAAAGUAUGAAAGCCCAGAUGCAUUAAAGACACUGAAAAAUAAAAACAUGAAACCAGAAACUUCUUUGAAGUUAAAAGAUCAAUAAUUCCUAGGCCAGACUAGAAAUGGCAUCCAACAGGCAAAGAAGAACGUUUGUCUAUUAUCUCAGAUUCAUUUAA